RNAcentral lists this ribosomal RNA (1802 nucleotides) under Planctomycetaceae bacterium. RNAcentral describes it as "partial 23S ribosomal RNA". It matches the Rfam family "Bacterial large subunit ribosomal RNA", at positions 1101 to 2925 of the family's 2925-position model. Lineage: Bacteria; Pseudomonadati; Planctomycetota; Planctomycetia; Planctomycetales; Planctomycetaceae. The record is from RNAcentral.
UUGGCUUAGAAGCAGCCACCAUUUAAAAAGUGCGUAACAGCUUACCAGUCGAGCAUUUCUGCGCCGAUAAUGAACGGGAGUAAGUAUUUCACCGAAGCAGCGGGCUCUAGCUUGCUAGAGCGGUAGGAGAGCGCCGAUGAUCAGAUACAAGCCAUACGGAAACGAGUGGUGUCGGGGUCAUCGGGUGAUUAUGCCGGAAUGAGUAACGAUAAAACAGGUGAGAAUCCUGUUCGCCGAAAGCCUAAGGUUUCCUGGGGAAGGUAAUUCCGCCCAGGGUUAGCCGGUGCCUUAGUCGAGGCCGAAGGGCGUAGACGAUGGACAGCAGGUCAAUAUUCCUGCGCCACUGGCACACUUCGAUGCUGGGACGGCGUCCGAAAAGUGAGCGGUACGACUAGAAAUGUCCGUAGCGAAGGCCAAGGUGUCCGGGGUUAAAUGACCGGGCGUAAGCCAAGGCGUAGCUCGAGAGCACCUAAGUUCUCGAAGUCACUGGAAGGACGUCCAAGAAAAGCAGCUAAGAUAGUGUGUGUCGGUGACCGUACUAAAACUGACACAGGUAGGCGAGAUGAGUAAUCUAAGGCGCUCGGGAGAACGGUGGUUAAGGAACUCUGCAAAAUGGCCCCGUAAGUUCGCGAUAAGGGGCGCCCACGCAAGUGGGCCACAGAAAAUCGGCUCUAGCGACUGUUUAUCAAAAACACAGGACUCUGCUAACUCGCAAGAGGAUGUAUAGAGUCUGACGCCUGCCCGGUGCUGGUAGGUUAAGGAAGAGGGUUAGCGAAAGCGAAGCUCGCGACCGAAGCCCCAGUAAACGGCGGCCCUAACUAUGAGGGUCCUAAGGUAGCGAAGUUCCUUGUCGGGUAAGUUCCGACCUGCAUGAAAGGCGUAACGACUGGAGCACUGUCUCGACCACCGACCCGGUGAAAUUGUAGUUGUGGUGAAGAUGCCACAUACCCGCGGUUAGACGGAAAGACCCCGUGAACCUUUACUGUAGGCUGAUAUUGGGUUGAGGUAUGUCUUGUGUAGGAUAGCUGGGAGGCUUUGAAGCGGGCACGCUAGUGUCUGUGGAGCCGUCGUUGAAAUACCAGCCUGGUCAUGCUUUAAUUCUAACUUCGAUCCCAUGAAUCUGGGCGAAGGACAGUGUCAGUUGGGCAGUUUGACUGGGGCGGUCUCCUCCUAAAGAGUAACGGAGGAGUACAAAGGUACACUCAGCCUGGUCGGUAAUCAGGCGAAGAGCGUAAAGGUAGAAGUGUGCUUGACUGCGAGAGAUAUAACUCGAGCAGGGACGAAAGUCGGUCUUAGUGAUCCGGUAAUCCCGAAUGGAAGGGUUAUCGCUCAUCAGAUAAAAGGUACUCCGGGGAUAACAGGCUUAUCGCCACCGAGCGUCCACAGCGGCGUGGCGGUUUGGCACCUCGAUGUCGGCUCAUCACAUCCUGGGGGUGAAGAAGCUCCCAAGGGUUUGGCUGUUCGCCAAUGAAAGUGGUACGUGAGCUGGGUUCAGACCGUCGUGAGACAGGUCGGUCCCUAUCUGCCGUGGGCGUACGAAACUUGAGGAGAUUCUUCUUUAGUACGAGAGGAUUUAGAAGGACGUAGCUCUGGUGUACCAGUUGUCACGCUAGUGGCACGGCUGGAUAGCUAACUACGGAAAGGAUAAACGCUGAAAGCAUCUAAGCGUGAAGCCCUCCCCAAGAUUAGGGUUCGUAAGUCAUUUGACGAAAGCCCCCUGAAAGACGAUCAGGUUGAUAGGCUGGACGUGUAAGUGGGGUAACCCAUUGAGCAAACCAGUACUAACGGGCGAAUGAUUGGCC